CAGGCCUAACACAUGCAAGUCGAACGAGGGCUUCUGUCCUAAUGGCGCACGGGUUAAUUACCCGUUGAAACCUGCCCUGUGGUACGGAAUAACUCCGGGAAACUGGAUCUAAUACCGUAUGUGUCUUGAGGGACAAAGAUUUAUCGCCAUGGGAUGGGCCCCCGUUCGAUUAACUUGUUGGUGGGGUAACUGCCUAACCAGGGAACGAUCCUUAACUGGUCUGAAAAGAUAAUCAGCCACACUGGGAAUGAAACACGGGCCAUAAUCCUACGGGAGGGAGCAGUGGGGAAUAUUGGACAAUGGGCGCAAGCCUGAUCCAACCAUGCCGCGUUAGUGAUGAAAGGCUUCGGGUUGUAUAGCUCUUUCGCACGCGACAAUGAUGACGGUAGCGUGAGAAGAA
RNAcentral lists this ribosomal RNA (400 nucleotides) under uncultured bacterium. Its description in RNAcentral is "bacterial SSU rRNA". It matches the Rfam family "Bacterial small subunit ribosomal RNA", at positions 43 to 489 of the family's 1533-position model. The record is from RNAcentral.